This 253-nucleotide ribosomal RNA is filed under the name uncultured bacterium. Its description in RNAcentral is "partial 16S ribosomal RNA". It matches the Rfam family "Bacterial small subunit ribosomal RNA", at positions 524 to 776 of the family's 1533-position model. The record is from RNAcentral.
UACGGAGGGGGCAAGCGUUAAUCGGAAUUACUGGGCGUAAAGCGUGCGUAGGCGGCUGUUUAAGUCGGGGGUGAAACCCCGGGGCUCAACCUCGGAACUGCAUUCGAGACUGGAAAGCUAGAGUUCGGGAGAGGUGAGGGGAAUUCCCAGUGUAGAGGUGAAAUUCGUAGAUAUUCGGAAGAACACCAGUGGCGAAGGCGGCUAACUGGCGCGUUUCUGACGCUGAGGUGCGAAGGCGUGGGGAGCAAACAGG